GUCCACGGCCAUACCUAGGCAAAAACACCAGUUCCCAUCCGACCACCGCAGUUAAGUGAAAAUGUCUGAGGAUUUAGCCUUGUUUGUACUAUGGUUAGAGACAAUAUGGAAUCCGGGGUGCUGUAGGCU
Molecule: ribosomal RNA, 129 nt
Filed under: Schizosaccharomyces cryophilus OY26
Lineage: Eukaryota; Fungi; Ascomycota; Schizosaccharomycetes; Schizosaccharomycetales; Schizosaccharomycetaceae
Source: RNAcentral